GUCUAUAAUCACACCACCCUGAAUGUGUCUGAUCUCUGAAGCUAAGCAGGGUCAGGCCUGAAUAGUACUUGGAAGGGAGAAAUGUUUCCUUAAGGCCAGAAGGAAUAAAGGAAACAGGGGGCC
RNAcentral lists this ribosomal RNA (123 nucleotides) under Jaculus jaculus (lesser Egyptian jerboa). The record is from RNAcentral. Lineage: Eukaryota; Metazoa; Chordata; Mammalia; Rodentia; Dipodidae.